Long non-coding RNA from Hippocampus zosterae (dwarf seahorse), 777 nucleotides. RefSeq lists it as uncharacterized. The record is from RefSeq and is a predicted model, not a curated record. The transcript has 2 exons. NCBI's taxonomy places the organism in Eukaryota, Metazoa, Chordata, Actinopteri, Syngnathiformes, Syngnathidae.
CCAGCGUCUUGGUGACCAAAGUGCAGACUCAACAAUGGCACCAACUGAAAGCUUCUCAGCAGUCAAAAAAAAAAAAGUUUUAGCAUCUUGGCUCACCUCAGAACGUUGAUCAUGACGUCAUGUUCGCUCCACCACCUGCAACAACAAACAGUCUUUUUAAAUGUCUUUUCCGACAGAAGGAUUAGUGGCGAAAAAGAUCAAUGGUACUUGAGCCUGUCCACCGUCUUCCUGGAGGGGAUGCCGAUUCAGAUUUUCUGGUGCCAACAGCUGCUUUGGCGCCGCCUAGUGGACAUGAGCAGAAAGACAUUAGUACAGGAUGUGAAAUUUACCUUUUUAAACUGAAUCUGCAAAAGAGAAAAUGUGUUAAAAAUGGUCACGUCAGCCAUCUUGUUUUGCUGCAUGCUCAAACCCAGCAGACUGCCUCAUUCGCUGUCGUCUUAUUCCUCAGGCAGCUCUGGAUGAACACUGGAUGCCGUUUGACCUGCGCACACACAAAAAGGAUGUCAGAAAGAGUGAAUUGUAGUUAUUUGCGAUGUCCUUACCUUCCUUCAGUUUUGUCCAGGAGCAAAACAGCAACUUGAGGCCGGACUCUCAGCUUUCUUUUAAGACGUCUGGGGAGUGCAGUUUGCAAUGAGGUAGUGUGAAGCACCAAAUUUUGGAAAAAAAUUAAGAAAAUUGCACACUUUUUGUUUUUGGUUCCAACCUGAAUCACGUCAUAAUUCGAAGCCUCCUGUAAGCUCAUCUUCAUGUGCUGAAAAAUUAAAACAUGAUUUCAGA